UUGUUCAGUUUUGUCUUUUUUUUUUUUUUCCUUCCUUCUCCCACGUUCCUUAUUUCCGAUCGUUCCACUAUUCAUGUAUUCCUGCUCCUUGAACUUCAACUGCUCCCGGCUCCAUCUUCUUCGUCAACCAUAGAAACCGCCAUAUCCACCCCACGUUCUUCCUUCAUCGCAUAUCCUUCUUCAUUGUGUAACUGUCCCGUCUACAUAAGAGUUCAAUCUCAACCUAAUUGCUUCAAGUGUUUCAACAUUUGCUUCAAAUUGCUUCAAGCUUCUCAUAAUCAUGGACCACAAAUCAACUGAGAACAUUUUCCCCUUUGAAUAAAAGCCAUCCAAUGAUUUUUAUUUUUUCUUUGAAUGCACUUGGAAGAUCCCAGACAACGAUGGCCUCUUACUUCCAUAUACACUUUUCUAUAUGUAAAUCUCAUUGGACGUCCACUCACUUACUCAGUAAGUUUCAAUUUCAGGUUUUUUAUUUGUCAACUGAUACUGAUAAUAGAGAUGCUAUUGAGGGAGAACGACGACUAUUGUCUCAUUCGAGGCCACCUGCCACUGCUGGUUUUGACGUUCAAUUUUGGAUUCCGGCUUGAACUUUACCAGAAGAAAAAUAGCAGAUUCCGUUUGACAUCUCGAUGAAUCAAAUGUGAGUGGGCAUGAUAGCGAGGGUACAUCUUGGAUUUAGUGCUUUUGCAAUAUAUGUGGGAAUGAACUUUUCUGUGAAGUUGAUGAAAAUUACAUCGAAUAUGAUUUAACAACUUUGGUUUAAGCAACCAAUGAUUAUGGUCUUGAUUAGAUUACUGUUUUGCUUCUCUUAUUAGUUAUUACAUGAAAAAAAGGUUCGUCAUUUGUGACUUUUGAUAGUGAAUAACAAAUAUAAAUUGCGAUUUAUCGUUUCUACUUAAAUCCAAUAAUCAUCAUUUGGGUUCUAAUUUGUUGCUCUUUUGUGUAUAUGAACUUUCUUAAACUAUAGAAAAAGUGGGGGGAAGAAGUGAAGUUUGACUUUAAUAAUGCAAUAAACGCAGAGUGACUUUAAUGAUGUUAAACUAUACAAACUACUCUCUUUAAGUGUUUGAGGAAUCUCAAAUAUGACAUUUUAUAGAUGUCGAACUUUAAAAUUUUCUUAUGUUUUUUAUGUGAAUUUUUAAUUGCAUUGAUUUGUUUUGUUUAUUGGUUUGAUAGAGUAUGCAACUGAAUCAACAUAUGUUUUUUUAAUGUGAAUAUUCAUCUUCUCUCUAAA
Long non-coding RNA from Lactuca sativa (garden lettuce), 1234 nucleotides. RefSeq lists it as uncharacterized. The record is from RefSeq and is a predicted model, not a curated record. Lineage: Eukaryota; Viridiplantae; Streptophyta; Magnoliopsida; Asterales; Asteraceae.